AAUCAUCAACUCCCUUAGCUUUGUUGCGACGGUGAGCGUGGACUUGGGGAUUUGCUGGCCUUUGGGUUCUGGCUUCCCUUGAAUGCAUUAGCUGGACGUUGAUUUGCAGCAUAUAUGCGGUGUGAUAAUUGUCUUCACUGUGUAGCUCAAGUUGAACUGGCUUCUAAUCGUCCUUCGCGGGACAACACUUUGACC
Molecule: unclassified non-coding RNA, 195 nt
Filed under: uncultured Xylodon
Lineage: Eukaryota; Fungi; Basidiomycota; Agaricomycetes; Hymenochaetales; Schizoporaceae
Description: partial internal transcribed spacer 2
Source: RNAcentral